AUUGAACGCUGGCGGCAUGCCUUACACAUGCAAGUCGAACGGCAGCACGGGAGCAAUCCUGGUGGCGAGUGGCGAACGGGUGAGUAAUGUAUCGGAACGUGCCCAGUCGUGGGGGAUAACGUAGCGAAAGCUACGCUAAAACCGCAUACGAUCUGUGGAUGAAAGCGGGGGACCGUAAGGCCUCGCGCGAUUGGAGCGGCCGAUAUCAGAUUAGGUAGUUGGUGGGGUAAAGGCCUACCAAGCCGACGAUCUGUAGCUGGUCUGAGAGGACGACCAGCCACACUGGGACUGAGACACGGCCCAGACUCCUACGGGAGGCAGCAGUGGGGAAUUUUGGACAAUGGGCGCAAGCCUGAUCCAGCAAUGCCGCGUGCAGGAUGAAGGCCUUCGGGUUGUAAACUGCUUUUGUACGGAGCGAAAAGGCUCUCUCUAAUACAGGGGACUCAUGACGGUACCGUAAGAAUAAGCACCGGCUAACUACGUGCCAGCCGCCGCAGUAA
RNAcentral lists this ribosomal RNA (500 nucleotides) under uncultured bacterium. Its description in RNAcentral is "partial 16S ribosomal RNA". It matches the Rfam family "Bacterial small subunit ribosomal RNA", at positions 30 to 523 of the family's 1533-position model. The record is from RNAcentral.